UGGGGAAUAUUGGACAAUGGGGGAAACCCUGAUCCAGCAAUGCCGCGUGUGUGAAGAAGGCCUGCGGGUUGUAAAGCACUUUCAGUGGGGAGGAAUGGUUAAUUAAUUAAUAAUUAGUUAAUUUGACGUUACCUAAAGAAGAAGCACCGGCUAACUCUGUGCCAGCAGCCGCGGUAAUACAGAGGGUGCGAGCGUUAAUCGGAAUUACUGGGCGUAAAGGGUGCGUAGGUGGUGAUAUAAGUCAGAUGUGAAAUCCCCGAGCUUAACUUGGGAAUUGCGUUUGAUACUGUAUUGCUAGAGUGUUGUAGAGGAAAGUGGAAUUUCCGGUGUAGCGGUGAAAUGCGUAGAUAUCGGAAGGAACACCAGUGGCGAAGGCGGCUUUCUGGACAAACACUGACACUGAGGCACGAAAGCGUGGGUAGCAAACAGGAUUAGAUACCCCCGUAGUCC
RNAcentral lists this ribosomal RNA (450 nucleotides) under uncultured bacterium. RNAcentral's name for it is "bacterial SSU rRNA". It matches the Rfam family "Bacterial small subunit ribosomal RNA", at positions 355 to 796 of the family's 1533-position model. The record is from RNAcentral.